UACGAAGGGGGCUAGCGUUGCUCGGAAUCACUGGGCGUGAAGGGUGCGUAGGCGGGUCUUUAAGUCAGGGGUGAAAUCCUGGAGCUCAACUCCAGAACUGCCUUUGAUACUGAAGAUCUUGAGUUCGGGAGAGGUGAGUGGAACUGCGAGUGUAGAGGUGAAAUUCGUAGAUAUUCGCAAGAACACCAGUGGCGAAGGCGGCUCACUGGCCCGAUACUGACGCUGAGGCACGAAAGCGUGGGGAGCAAACAGG
This 253-nucleotide ribosomal RNA is filed under the name uncultured bacterium. RNAcentral describes it as "partial 16S ribosomal RNA". It matches the Rfam family "Bacterial small subunit ribosomal RNA", at positions 524 to 776 of the family's 1533-position model. The record is from RNAcentral.